RNAcentral lists this ribosomal RNA (497 nucleotides) under uncultured bacterium. Its description in RNAcentral is "partial 16S ribosomal RNA". It matches the Rfam family "Bacterial small subunit ribosomal RNA", at positions 28 to 507 of the family's 1533-position model. The record is from RNAcentral.
GAUGAACGCUGGCGGCGUGCCUAAUACAUGCAAGUCGAGCGAACAGACGAGGAGCUUGCUCCUCUGACGUUAGCGGCGGACGGGUUAGUAACACGUGGAUAACCUACCUAUAAGACUUGGAUAACUUCGGGAAACCGGAGCUAAUACCGGAUAAUAUAUUUAACCGCAUGGUUCCAUAGUGAAAGACGGUUUUGCUGUCACUUAUAGAUGGAUCCGCGCCGCAUUAGCUAGUUGGUAAGGUAACGGCUUACCAAGGCAACGAUGCGUAGCCGACCUGAGAGGGUGAUCGGCCACACUGGAACUGAGACACGGUCCAGACUCCUACGGGAGGCAGCAGUAGGGAAUCUUCCGCAAUGGGCGAAAGCCUGACGGAGCAACGCCGCGUGAGUGAUGAAGGUCUUCGGAUCGUAAAACUCUGUUAUUAGGGAAGAACAAAUGUGUAAGUAACUAUGCACGUCUUGACGGUACCUAAUCAGAAAGCCACGGCUAACUACGUG